This 628-nucleotide ribosomal RNA is filed under the name Salmonella enterica subsp. enterica serovar Hadar. RNAcentral describes it as "partial 23S ribosomal RNA". It matches the Rfam family "Bacterial large subunit ribosomal RNA", at positions 680 to 1240 of the family's 2925-position model. The record is from RNAcentral. Lineage: Bacteria; Pseudomonadati; Pseudomonadota; Gammaproteobacteria; Enterobacterales; Enterobacteriaceae.
AGUCUUAACCGGGCGUUAAGUUGCAGGGUAUAGACCCGAAACCCGGUGAUCUAGCCAUGGGCAGGUUGAAGGUUGGGUAACACUAACUGGAGGACCGAACCGACUAAUGUUGAAAAAUUAGCGGAUGACCUGUGGCUGGGGGUGAAAGGCCAAUCAAACCGGGAGAUAGCUGGUUCUCCCCGAAAGCUAUUUAGGUAGCGCCUCGUGAAUUCAUCUCCGGGGGUAGAGCACUGUUUCGGCUAGGGGGCCAUCCCGGCUUACCAACCCGAUGCAAACUGCGAAUACCGGAGAAUGUUAUCACGGGAGACACACGGCGGGUGCUAACGUCCGUCGUGAAGAGGGAAACAACCCAGACCGCCAGCUAAGGUCCCAAAGUCAUGGUUAAGUGGGAAACGAUGUGGGAAGGCCCAGACAGCCAGGAUGUUGGCUUAGAAGCAGCCAUCAUUUAAAGAAAGCGUAAUAGCUCACUGGUCGAGUCGGCCUGCGCGGAAGAUGUAACGGGGCUAAACCAUGCACCGAAGCUGCGGCAGCGAACGUAUCACCCAAGACAACUUUGCGGAGUUGACGAUUGACGGAGCGAAGCGACGUCAAAGCGUUCAUUAAAGUCGAGUUGGCUUAGGGAUACGUU